AUGGAAUAUUUUUGGUUGUGCCUAAUCAUUGUGCUAUUUCNUGCUAGAUCACCCUCUGAGCCUCAAUGAAGUGGCGGCAUAGAAAAACACCCGUUGGAAGCCCUGCCUAACCCCUGAGAUUAAGCAAUUUGUCACCCAUUACUUGGGAAUAAGAACAGGAGGUGCUCAGUGCCCUGCCGCCUGUUUCAAGACUUUCCACAGCACCUUUCUGAGGCAAUUGUCUGCCACUUUGUAAACAAGCAGUCUGUCCUCGUCAAGGGAACAAGCAGGCUUGUAAAAGAAGCACAGCAAAAAAGGGAUAAAUAAAGCUAUCCAGGAUGACUCACAAGUUGUUUCAUAUCAUCUAUCAUCUCAAAAUUCACCUGAAGGAACUUGCAUGCUGCUUCCAAGUUAACCCUUAGUAGUUUUAUUUCAAGGCAGUUAUACUUAUCUUUAUAGCUUAAGAAACAGGGUGGCUUUACCCCAC
Molecule: long non-coding RNA, 466 nt
Filed under: Salvator merianae (Argentine black and white tegu)
Lineage: Eukaryota; Metazoa; Chordata; Lepidosauria; Squamata; Teiidae
Description: lncRNA (ENSSMRG00000022747.1)
Source: RNAcentral